Molecule: long non-coding RNA, 255 nt
Filed under: Carica papaya (papaya)
Lineage: Eukaryota; Viridiplantae; Streptophyta; Magnoliopsida; Brassicales; Caricaceae
Description: long non-coding RNA (CPAP_LNC014391)
Source: RNAcentral
GGUAUUAAAGCUAAAUAAAUAAUUAAACUGUACUGUGUGACUUUAUAGAUGUAUAAUUGGUUAAGGUUUCCAAUGGAGCCCGAGUCUGAUACAGUGUUGGUCUGUUAUUGUUUGAUCUAAUUUUUAGUAUUAAAUGCAGCAUGAUGUUUGAUGUAAUUAUGUUAUGAUCUCGUAUGCAUGAAUCAUGGUUUCUUUUAUUAUGGUUUGUAUUAUGGUGAACCUGGUACUGUAUUGUCUUAUUUGGUGUCAAUUACU